UACGGAGGGUGCAAGCGUUACUCGGAAUCACUGGGCGUAAAGGGCGCGUAGGCGGGUUGUCAAGUUCUGAGUGAAAUCCAACGGCUCAACCGUUGAACUGCUUGGAAACUGGCAGCCUAGAGUGAGGGAGAGGCAGAUGGAAUUGGUGGUGUAGGGGUAAAUCCGUAGAGAUCACCAGGAAUACCCAUUGCGAAGGCGAUCUGCUGGAACUCAACUGACGCUGAGGCGCGAAAGCGUGGGGAGCAAACAGG
This 251-nucleotide ribosomal RNA is filed under the name uncultured bacterium. Its description in RNAcentral is "partial 16S ribosomal RNA". It matches the Rfam family "Bacterial small subunit ribosomal RNA", at positions 524 to 776 of the family's 1533-position model. The record is from RNAcentral.